Molecule: ribosomal RNA, 253 nt
Filed under: uncultured bacterium
Lineage: Bacteria
Description: partial 16S ribosomal RNA
Rfam family: Bacterial small subunit ribosomal RNA
Source: RNAcentral
UACGGAGGGUGCGAGCGUUAAUCGGAAUUACUGGGCGUAAAGCGUGCGCAGGCGGUGAUGUAAGACAGGUGUGAAAUCCCCGGGCUUAACCUGGGAACUGCAUUUGUGACUGCAUCGCUGGAGUGCGGCAGAGGGGGAUGGAAUUCCGCGUGUAGCAGUGAAAUGCGUAGAUAUGCGGAGGAACACCGAUGGCGAAGGCAAUCCCCUGGGCCUGCACUGACGCUCAUGCACGAAAGCGUGGGGAGCAAACAGG